RNAcentral lists this ribosomal RNA (371 nucleotides) under uncultured bacterium. RNAcentral describes it as "bacterial SSU rRNA". It matches the Rfam family "Bacterial small subunit ribosomal RNA", at positions 527 to 896 of the family's 1533-position model. The record is from RNAcentral.
GAAGGGUGCAAGCGUUACUCGGAAUUACUGGGCGUAAAGCGUGCGUAGGUAGUUCGUUAAGUCUGCCGUGAAAGCCCCGGGCUCAACCUGGGAAUGGCGGUGGAUACUGGCGGACUAGAGUGCGGUAGAGGGUGGUGGAAUUCCCGGUGUAGCAGUGAAAUGCGUAGAGAUCGGGAGGAACAUCUGUGGCGAAGGCGGCCACCUGGACCAGCACUGACACUGAGGCACGAAAGCGUGGGGAGCAAACAGGAUUAGAUACCCUGGUAGUCCACGCCCUAAACGAUGCGAACUGGACGUUGGGCUCAAUUGAGAGCUCAGUGUCGAAGCUAACGCGUUAAGUUCGCCGCCUGGGGAGUACGGUCGCAAGACUG